RNAcentral lists this transfer RNA (71 nucleotides) under Marmota monax (woodchuck). RNAcentral describes it as "tRNA.Ala". Lineage: Eukaryota; Metazoa; Chordata; Mammalia; Rodentia; Sciuridae. The record is from RNAcentral.
UGGGAUGUAGAUUAGUGGUAGAGCAUUUGCGUAGCAUGCUCAAGGCCUGGGUUUAAUCCCCAGCACCACAC